UCUUUUCUCGUUGGCCAACUCUUAUCUUCUUCUCUCUUUUCCAUCCAGAAUUCACCACCACAAAGUCUUUCUUCUCCACUUCAAUCUGCAAAUACACAUGAGAUCAAAAUACACAUCACUCCUAUACGCUCCUCCUCUCCUCCUAUCCGGAUGGCUCCUUCUCCUCCCUGAUGCCUACUUCGUGAAUCUUCCUCUGUGCUACUCCUCCGGCCGCCUUCUCCGUGAAGCCUCGUCCUCUGGUUUGGUGGCGAAGAUGAAGGCGUGAAAGGAGACGAUGUCAUGAAGAAGGAAGAAGAAGAUGCAGCGGAGGUGGCGCGGAGAUGACAGAGGAAGAAGACGAGGCGGCGGAGAUGGUGGUACUGACGAACCAGACACGGAGGCAGAAGUAGAUGCGGUUCAGAGAAAUGUGUUUUGAGCCUGAGGCAUGAAGCACGAGGGGGCCAAGCACGAAGACGCGGAAGCAAUACGUAGCAGAUGAGGUGGUGCUUGAGGAAGGCGGCGGAUUAGGUUUAGGAUUGGUUAAUUAGGUUUUGGUUUAAUGUGUGUUUAUAGUGUUUGGUUUAAUUUGUUCUGGUUUAUUUUUUUUUUUUACUUUAUGGUUUAGUUUUGUAAACUGAUUUUAAUUAAUAAAUAAAUUUUCUUUCUAAUUAUAUGUAAUUUUUGAUUUAAUUUCUAAUUAUUUAAUUUGUAAUUAAUUAAUUUUAAUUAAAUAAUCAAAUUAAUAUUUAAUUUUAAUUAAUUAUAGAAUUAUAUCGAUGUCAUUAUAAUACAUCAUAGCACAAAUCAAGCGUUAUAGUUAAGUUAAUAAUAUCAUUCAAGUAUCGCUAUCAUAUCUUCACAUUUUGUAGCGUUUAAAAAACGCUAUCGUAGAUGGGGUAUCUAUGAUGGCUGCCGUAUACAUAUCAUUUAUGAAUUCGCUAUCAAACAUCUAAUAUAGCAUAUUUCUCGCGCUAACAAUGUACAUAUUUCUUGUAUUGUUUUAUUUAAGUAUUGCCCAAAGGUUAUUUAAAGUACAAGUUUAAGUUUCUAUUAGUCUGAAUAUAUAAAAGUCUCAAAGCACAAACGGCUAAACAUGUAUGAAUGCUUGAAGCUUCAUCAAAUGUGUUUGCAUCCGCUAACUAUAUGGUAAAAUUUAACGGCUUCAACUAUGGUGAGUGUUUCGAGCAAAUCUGGUCUAUACUAGGUGUAAUGGCUUUGGACUCCGCCAUACUAACUGAUAACGAACCUCAGCUAUUACAGUAGAUAGCUCUGAAUAUGAAAAGUCUCGUUAUGAGAGAUAAGAGUGAUCUAACAGGCUGAGCUUGAACCUUAUGAGGUUGACGAAGACGGAAAGUAUUAAGCCAUCAAUGCCUAAGACAGAGAAAGCAAAGGAAUUCGUAGAGAAAAUUAAGAAAUGUUCACAAUCGGAAUAGGCUGACAAGUCGAUUGUAGGAAGUCUCAUGAAUGAGUAACUACGAAAAAGUUUGACUGGUCUCAACCAAUCCAUAAUCAUGUUACACACAUGUCUAAUCUGGCAGAAAAGCUAACGACCUUGGUAAUGGAGGUUCAUGAGCAGUUCUUGGUCCAAUUAAUCAUGAAUUUUCUUCCUCUUGAAUUUAGCCCGAGGUGAAUUACAAAACCAUUAAGGAUAAAUGGAAUUUUAAGAAAUUAAAGGCUAUGCUAAUUCAAGAGGAGGAGAGGUUAAGGAAGAUGAAAUACCAGAUCCACUACAAAAAAAGUUCACAUUGAUAGCACAUUGUUAUAACACGUUUUACUAAACUGCUAUCGUAGAUGAGUUUGAAAUUUCGGUACUCUAUAAUAGCAUUAGAUAAAUGCUAUGAUAGAGUAAAUCCUAAAAUAGCACUUAAUUAAUGUUAUUUUAAAAAUUAAGUGAGCGGAAGAUAAAAUUAUUGAACCCACCAAUACUUAGCGGGAAAUUAUACUUAAGCGUCAAAGACAUUAUUUAGCGGCUUCAGUAAUCAUAUCAAAAGCAUAUAAUAGCAUUUUUCUAACGCUAAGAAAAACCAUUUUCAAACAUUAUAUUUCAAACACUAAAACUCUAAACUUAAACUAAAUACCAAUUCAUAAACUCUUCUUAUAUCUAAACCUAAUUUGUAAUUUCUAAAAUUCUUUAAUUUUAUAACUUUAACUUUAUAACUAAGUCUUAACAUUUAUAUUUAAUACUUUAUUUUAACAUUUAUAACCCCUAAAUUAUUUAAAUUCCAAACCCUAUAUCUAAACUCCAAACCCUAUUCUUCAAACCCCAAAUAUAUAUGUAAUGUGCCAUAAAUUAUAAAUUUACUCAGGAAAAAUAAUAUUUCCAAUUUAAACACCAAACUUAACACAUAAAUUACAAAUCUAGCUAAUUUUCAAAUUUUAUUCUCAAAUUUCAUCUAAAUCCCAAACCACAUACUCCAAACCUUACAUCAUAACACUAAAUUUAAUUAAUUAUAAACUCCAAAACAUAAAUUUUAUAUUCUAAAACAAAUCACUAACACUAUAUUUCAAACCCUAAACCAUAAAAUUAUACACAUAAAAAUGUAAGUAACCAUUAAACUUUAAACGAACCAUAUUCUCAAUAUAUAAUUAUUAAUAAAAAAAAAUUAAACAUAAAAAAUAAAGUUACUAACAACUGAUGUUAUUAACAACAAUAAAUGAAGAAAGUAAAUUAUUUUAUUGGUUAAUCAUAAAAACAUGGAGUUAUUUUGGCCAUUGAUUGAUUGGUUUAAUCCAAAGGCCCAAAAGCAUUCUUUUGUUAUCUCCGUACUCUCUUCUCAUUGGUUGAUCUGGCACAAGAAGGAUUAUCAUUUCUGACCACUGAUUUUUAAUCCAAUGGCUCAAAAACAUUCAUUUGUGAUUUCUUUCUCUUUUCUCGUUGGCCAACUCUUAUCUUCUUCUCUCUUUUCCAUCCAGAAUUCACCACCACAAAGUCUUUCUUCUCCACUUCAAUCUGCAAAUACACAUGAGAUCAAAAUACACAUCACUCCUAUACGCUCCUCCUCUCCUCCUAUCCGGAUGGCUCCUUCUCCUCCCUGAUGCCUACUUCGUGAAUCUUCCUCUGUGCUACUCCUCCGGCCGCCUUCUCCGUGAAGCCUCGUCCUCUGGUUUGGUGGCGAAGAUGAAGGCGUGAAAGGAGACGAUGUCAUGAAGAAGGAAGAAGAAGAUGCAGCGGAGGUGGCGCGGAGAUGACAGAGGAAGAAGACGAGGCGGCGGAGAUGGUGGUACUGACGAACCAGACACGGAGGCAGAAGUAGAUGCGGUUCAGAGAAAUGUGUUUUGAGCCUGAGGCAUGAAGCACGAGGGGGCCAAGCACGAAGACGCGGAAGCAAUACGUAGCAGAUGAGGUGGUGCUUGAGGAAGGCGGCGGAUUAGGUUUAGGAUUGGUUAAUUAGGUUUUGGUUUAAUGUGUGUUUAUAGUGUUUGGUUUAAUUUGUUCUGGUUUAUUUUUUUUUUUUACUUUAUGGUUUAGUUUUGUAAACUGAUUUUAAUUAAUAAAUAAAUUUUCUUUCUAA
Molecule: long non-coding RNA, 3491 nt
Filed under: Brassica napus (rape)
Lineage: Eukaryota; Viridiplantae; Streptophyta; Magnoliopsida; Brassicales; Brassicaceae
Description: long non-coding RNA (BNAP_LNC019355)
Source: RNAcentral